RNAcentral lists this non-coding RNA (218 nucleotides) under Exiguobacterium oxidotolerans. RNAcentral describes it as "T-box". It matches the Rfam family "T-box leader". From Rfam's summary of the family: Uncharged tRNA acts as the effector for transcription antitermination of genes in the T-box leader family. T-boxes are found upstream of many aminoacyl-tRNA synthetase genes and some amino acid biosynthetic genes usually in Gram-positive bacteria. RNAcentral also lists the same sequence under 1 other name. The record is from RNAcentral. Lineage: Bacteria; Bacillati; Bacillota; Bacilli; Caryophanales.
AAUAAAGCGUAGAUGAGGAAAGUAGUGUCAAUGUUUCUUCUCCAGAGACAAGCUUGUGUGGUGCGAGAGCUUGAAGAAAAUUGCCAUGAAAUGCCCCUUUGAGUGCUACCCGAAAUCAGUGAGAGUAGGCGUAGACGUAUCUCCGGCGUUAACGGACACGGAGAGGGACGAUUGACUCGUCCAAACAGAGUGGGACCGCGCUAAUUAGCGUCUCUGUG